This 253-nucleotide ribosomal RNA is filed under the name uncultured bacterium. Its description in RNAcentral is "partial 16S ribosomal RNA". It matches the Rfam family "Bacterial small subunit ribosomal RNA", at positions 524 to 776 of the family's 1533-position model. The record is from RNAcentral.
UACAGAGACUGCAAGCGUUAUUCGGAUUCACUGGGCGUAAAGGGUGCGCAGGCGGUCGGGCGUGUCAGAUGUGAAAUCCCGAGGCUCAACCUCGGAACUGCGUCUGAAACUACUCGACUAGAGUACUGGAGAGGGUAACGGAAUUCACGGUGUAGCAGUGAAAUGCGUAGAUAUCGUGAGGAACACCAGAGGCGAAGGCGGUUACCUGGACAGUUACUGACGCUCAGGCACGAAAGCAUGGGGAGCGAACAGG